UGAGUCCUGAUGUGUACGUUAAGGUACCUAUCGUUUUGACCGAACAUUUCUAACUUCGGGAGUUCGGAGUUUCUAACUGGCAUCCAUGCCUUUCGUAUAAGGACGGAUAAAGGUUGGGAUAGAACACCCACCUGCGGAGAGCGGGUUCAAAACAAAAGGCUUUUUUGCAAAACGGCAUGAUUGGGGCUCAA
This 191-nucleotide non-coding RNA is filed under the name Bacillus sp. FJAT-49736. RNAcentral's name for it is "6S / SsrS RNA". It matches the Rfam family "6S / SsrS RNA". From Rfam's summary of the family: E. coli 6S RNA was the first non coding RNA to be sequenced, but its function was unknown until recently. It consists of 184 nucleotides that fold into an extended hairpin structure with a large single-stranded internal bulge. Lineage: Bacteria; Bacillati; Bacillota; Bacilli; Caryophanales; Bacillaceae. The record is from Rfam by way of RNAcentral.